GACGAACGCUGGCGGCGUGCUUAACACAUGCAAGUCGAACGGAAAGGCCCUGCUUUUGUGGGGUGCUCGAGUGGCGAACGGGUGAGUAACACGUGAGUAACCUGCCCUUGACUUUGGGAUAACUUCAGGAAACUGGGGCUAAUACCGGAUAGGAGCUCCUGCUGCAUGGUGGGGGUUGGAAAGUUUCGGCGGUUGGGGAUGGACUCGCGGCUUAUCAGCUUGUUGGUGGGGUAGUGGCUUACCAAGGCUUUGACGGGUAGCCGGCCUGAGAGGGUGACCGGCCACAUUGGGACUGAGAGACGGCGCAGACUCCUACGUGAGGCAGCAGUGGGGAAUAUGGCACAAUGGGCGGAAGCCUGAUGCAGCAACGCCGCGUGCGGGAUGACGGCCUGCGGGUUGUAAACCGCUUUCGCCUGUGACGAAGCGUGAGUGACGGUAAUGGGUAAAGAAGCACCGGCUAACUACGUG
Molecule: ribosomal RNA, 468 nt
Filed under: uncultured bacterium
Lineage: Bacteria
Description: partial 16S ribosomal RNA
Rfam family: Bacterial small subunit ribosomal RNA
Source: RNAcentral